AGAGUUUGAUCCUGGCUCAGGACGAACGCUGGCGGCGUGCCUAACACAUGCAAGUCGAACGGAGAUCUUAUGGAAUGCGGCUUCGGCCAAAUGAAGUCUGAUCUUAGUGGCGGACGGGUGAGUAACGCGUGAGUAACCUGCCCUUCAGAGGGGGACAACAGUUGGAAACGACUGCUAAUACCGCAUAACGUAUUUUGAAGGCAUCUUCUGAAUACCAAAGGAGCAAUCCGCUGAAGGAUGGACUCUCGUCCGAUUAGAUAGUUGGUGAGGUAACGGCCCACCAACUCGACGAUCGGUAGCCGGACUGAGAGGUUGAUCGCCCACAUUGGGACUGACACACGGACCAAACUCCUACGGGAGGCAGCAGUGGGGGAUAUUGCACAAUGGGCGAAAGCCUGAUGCAGCAACGCCGCGUGAGGGAAGAAGGUUUUCGGAUUGUAAACCUCUGUUUUUAGUGAAGAAACAAAUGACAGUAGCUAAAGAGGAAGCCACGGCUAACUACGUGCCAGCAGCCGCGGUAAUACGUAGGUGGCAAGCGUUGUCCGGAAUUACUGGGUGUAAAGGGAGCGCAGGCGGGACUGCAAGUUGGAUGUGAAAUACCGAGGCUUAACCUCGGGGCUGCAUCCAAAACUGUGGUUCUUGAGUGGAGUAGAGGUAAGCGGAAUUCCGAGUGUAGCGGUGAAAUGCGUAGAUAUUCGGAGGAACACCAGUGGCGAAGGCGGCUUUCUGGGCUCUAACUGACGCUGAGGCUCGAAAGUGUGGGUAGCAAACAGGAUUAGAUACCCUGGUAGUCCACACUGUAAACGAUGAAUACUAGGUGUGGGGGGACUGACCCCUUCCGUGCCGGAGUUAACACAAUAAGUAUUCCACCUGGGGAGUGCGACCGCAAGGUUGAAACUCAAAGGAAUUGACGGGGGCCCGCACAAGCAGUGGAGUAUGUGGUUUAAUUCGAAGCAACGCGAAGAACCUUCCCAGGUCUUGACAUCCAACUACCGAAGUAGAGAUACAUUAGGUGCCCUUCGGGGAAAGUUGAGACAGGUGGUGCAUGGUUGUCGUCAGCUCGUGUCGUGAGAUGUUGGGUUAAGUCCCGCAACGAGCGCAACCCUCGUUCUAUGUUGCCAGCGGGUUAUGCCGGGGACUCAUAGGAGACUGCCGGGGUCAACUCGGAGGAAGGUGGGGACGACGUCAAAUCAUCAUGCCCCUUAUGUCUUGGGCUUCACGCAUGCUACAAUGGCCGGUACAAAGGGUUGCGAUACUGUGAGGUGGAGCUAAUCCCAAAAAGCCGGUCUCAGUUCGGAUUGAGGUCUGCAACUCGACCUCAUGAAGUUGGAGUCGCUAGUAAUCGCAGAUCAGCAACGCUGCGGUGAAUACGUUCCCGGGCCUUGCACACACCGCCCGUCA
RNAcentral lists this ribosomal RNA (1401 nucleotides) under uncultured bacterium. Its description in RNAcentral is "bacterial SSU rRNA". It matches the Rfam family "Bacterial small subunit ribosomal RNA". The record is from RNAcentral.